Molecule: ribosomal RNA, 509 nt
Filed under: uncultured bacterium
Lineage: Bacteria
Description: bacterial SSU rRNA
Rfam family: Bacterial small subunit ribosomal RNA
Source: RNAcentral
AUUGAACGCUGGCGGCAGGCCUAACACAUGCAAGUCGAGCGGCAGCGGGAGGAAGCUUGCUUCCUCGCCGGCGAGCGGCGGACGGGUGAGUAAUGUCUGGGAAACUGCCCGAUGGAGGGGGAUAACUACUGGAAACGGUAGCUAAUACCGCAUAACGUCUACGGACCAAAGUGGGGGACCUUCGGGCCUCACACCAUCGGAUGUGCCCAGAUGGGAUUAGCUAGUAGGCGGGGUAAAGGCCCACCUAGGCGACGAUCUCUAGCUGGUCUGAGAGGAUGACCAGCCACACUGGAACUGAGACACGGUCCAGACUCCUACGGGAGGCAGCAGUGGGGAAUAUUGCACAAUGGGGGAAACCCUGAUGCAGCCAUGCCGCGUGUGUGAAGAAGGCCUUCGGGUUGUAAAGCACUUUCAGCGAGGAGGAAGGUGGUGAACUUAAUACGUUCAUCAAUUGACGUUACUCGCAGAAGAAGCACCGGCUAACUCCGUGCCAGCAGCCGCCGUAACAC